ACAACACUGCGUGGUAUGUUUCUUGAGUUCACUAUUCUAUCAGCUGUAUUUGUUUACAAAUACAACACUGCGUGGUAUGUUUCUUGAGUUCGCUAGUCUAUCAGCUGUAUUUGUUUACUUUCUUAUUAUUGGCGUUUAAGUGUUUGAAAUUAAUAAAUUUAAUAAAUUUCGUUAUUAAUAUGGAAGGAAACUACGAUAUUCAGUGUAAACCAUUUCAACCCGGUACAUACAUAAGUGGAAUGUGGCAGAAGAAGAAGCGCUUGUAGAGUUCCUAAUGGAAAAUAGAAGUUUCGAGAAACCAACGGCUCAAAGAUUUUAAUUGUUCUGCAGUAGUGGAAGACAGUUUGGUGACGCUGUUAGAAAGCGAUUCUACAAGUCCAUCGGGAGCAGAAUGUGUGGUUGAAGCGGGCAGUUCAGUUGGAGCUGAAGAAUUAAAAAGUCCUGCGUUGAACGACAAUGUGUGCACUCGAAGGCAGAAAGGAAUAUAUUCCAAAACUGCCUUGUCAGAUAUUUUGCAGGUUCAUGGCGAGAUCGCAGAAAUAAGGAAGCAAAAGCUUAAGAUGGAUGUUGCAGCAAGGGAAAGGGAAAUGCCAAUCAAAGAAUCUAUAUCGAAACUGAUUAACAUGUUGUGAAGAAUACAACACACCAUAAUCCAGUCAUUGCAUUCCUUCUUAUUUGACGUUGAAAGCAUUCUAAAUUUAAGCUCCUUUAAACUACCGAAUUUCUCUUUCAAAAGACAAAAACAAUUCUCAAUUCGUACACGGUAUUUGGAAAAUCAAAAAACGCUGCGGAGUUAUUCUAACAUCAAAUCCCCCCUCUACGUAUAUGUUCGAAAAAACUACAAUAGAGUUCUAGAAACCACUGAAAUUUUGUGCGGUUGUGAAAUGUACUACAAUGGAUUGCAUUGAACACACCGAAAGCUUUAAGCUCUUCUGCCACAAUCAUAUGUUUUCUGACAUUUUGACAUACAGAAAAUAAAUUAAAUUAAAAAUAACUUCACAUCAAAAAACAAAAUUUCAAAAAAUGAUGUGAAAAAUAUGUAAUAUGUAUGUAAUAAUAUGUAAUAUGUAAUAAUUAUACUGGACAAUAAUAUUUUAAGAUUGCUUAAAGUUAUAACUAAGUCAGGAUCAAUUUUCCUGCCUGUUAUUCAUAAUUAUAUUUUACAUGAAUCUAUUUGUAUCAGCUGAUGGAUGUAAACAUAGUACAAUACUACAUGUGUGUCACUAUGCUGGUAUAUGGUUUCUUGAGCUUUUAUUGUAGUACACAUCGUAGUACAUAUGUCUGUCUUAGGCAUAAAGGAACUUUGUAUGAAAUUUUACUUCUAUUGCCAAAUUUGUAUGAAAUUUGAUUUCAAAACGCUAUUGCCAAUUCAAAAGUUCGAGUUAUGGAGAUCUUCGACUUAUAGAAGUUCGAGUU
Molecule: long non-coding RNA, 1416 nt
Organism: Zeugodacus cucurbitae (melon fly)
Lineage: Eukaryota; Metazoa; Arthropoda; Insecta; Diptera; Tephritidae
Exons: 3
Source: RefSeq, a predicted model, not a curated record